UUUAGUUUUUAUUUGUCAUGGGCCAAAAUCUGAGACUUGAAAUUCAGCAUUCAAAUUAAACUUUAAAUAAUAAUCUCAUAAAGUUAUACAAGGGUACUCUGUGCUCCAUUGCUUUCUAAACAAUGUUGACGUACCGAAACAUAUUUGUGUUUUAUCGCCAUGACUUCAGCUUGCCGAAACCCUUUUCCUACGAAUAACUUUCGUAAUCGUUUGACUGCUUAUGGCAGCUGGAUUUAUGCGACUUGCGAGUGCAAUCAACUGGCUCAUUGGGAUAUCCGCCACAAGCCAAAGUUUCCCAAGACGCGAAUGUAUACAUCUAUACGAGUAUACGGGCGGAAAGAAAGGACAGUCUUCGCAUUCAGCUGCUGUCAGUCGCGCGCGAAAACUUUUCAAUACAAAGUAUGAAGCCCAUGACGCUACUAAAAGGAGACAUUGAAGAAUGCGACAGCCCCGAUGAGGCGGCAGAACGGGGACCGGGCCAAGAGCUGUAAGCCAAGUGAAGAGCCCCGGUAAGGACAUUCGGGCGGGCCAUAUAUACAACCGAAUGAACCGCAACAAAGGCACUCAACUGACUCCGAUUGCGACUCCGGCAACUAGUACGGCCACAAGACUUCGUCAAUGACUGUGCAGUCGAAAAAAUAAUACCAAAAUCAUCAUACUAUCUUCAAUAUUUCAGUGUGCACCAAAGAUAUUAUGCCA
Molecule: RNA transcript, 699 nt
Organism: Drosophila biarmipes
Lineage: Eukaryota; Metazoa; Arthropoda; Insecta; Diptera; Drosophilidae
Exons: 2
Source: RefSeq, a predicted model, not a curated record